This 1336-nucleotide long non-coding RNA is filed under the name Piliocolobus tephrosceles (Ugandan red Colobus). RNAcentral describes it as "lncRNA (ENSPTEG00000019970.1)". Lineage: Eukaryota; Metazoa; Chordata; Mammalia; Primates; Cercopithecidae. The record is from RNAcentral.
AAAAAAAAAAAAAAAUAAAAAAAAAAAAAAAAAAAAAGUUAUAAUAAAAGCAUAAACUUAGUUGUCACAAAUAAAAAAAAAGAAUAAGAUAGUACAACUAAACUUGCUUACACAUAUAAGUAACUAUUUUUUUUUUUAAAUACCUUUUUGUUUAACUGUAAAAUUGUUAAGUAUUAGAACUGUAAUCGAACAUAUACCGAAGUUAUGUCAAAGGAAUAUUAUUAUAAUUAUUACAAACUUUUUUUUUUUUUUUUUUUUUUUUUUUUUUUUUUUUUAGCAGUUUUAUGUUCAGGUUUUCAAAUUUUACAUAAAUUUGGUAGUGAUGAAGUAUUUGAUACUUAUAGUAUAAUUGCUUUUUUUGCAAUGGGUAUAUUAGGAGGUUAUAUUCAAGCAAUAGCAUUUAGAGUAGCAACUACAUUAAAAAAAAAUUAUAGUGGUUAUAUAUCUACAGGAAUUGGUUUAUCUUCAGUUAUAACUUUUUCAAUUAAUUUAUUACUUGAUUUGUUUGUUAGCCAAGAAAAGAAAUAUAAAAUAAACAAACAGAAAUUACAAUUUUUGUUUGGUGUGGCUGAAUUAAGUAUUUUAAUAACUCUUAUUUUAAUGUUAUUAUAUUUAAAUUUAUCAACGAAAGAGAAAAUACAAAUUCAGAAGAAAGAAGAAAAAUCACUAUCAUAUAUAGAUUUAAUUAAAGAUAGUUAUAAAGCAAUAUUAGCAAUGUUUUUAAUUAAUUGGUUAACAUUAAACUUAUUUCCUGGUGUAGGACAUAAAAAAUGGGUAGAAUCUCAUAAUUUUACUCCCAAACAUAUUACAUUUUUAGUUGGUAUGUUUCAAUUAUUUGAUUUUAUCGGUAGAUAUCCACCUAAUUUACAUCAUAUUAAAUAUUUUAAAUAUUUUAAUUUUCCAUUAAAUACUCUAUUAAUAUUAACUGUAAUCAGAAUGUUAUUUAUCCCAUGGUUUAUUUUUAACAUAGUUUUUCAUUUUGCUCCAUUUUCCAAUUAUGUUCAGCAAUGUAUUUGUAUGGCCUUGUUUGCUUUUACUAAUGGUUGGUUUAAUACUGUAACAUUUUUAGCAUUUAUUAAAGAAUUAAAAAUAGCAAAAAGUAAAGAAGAUAUAGAAAAAAUAUCAAAUUUAUUGGUUGUUGCUUUAUUCCUUGGUUUAGCUUCCGGUAUAUAUACAACUCCUAUGUAUAAUUUUAUACCCAUUCCUGUAGCAGAUGCGAUUGCUGUACCAGCUGCUUAAGUGGAUAAAUGAAUGAAUAAUUAAAUAAGUACAUAAAUAAGUACAUAAAUAAGUGCAUAAAUAUAUAACAGCACAAAUAUAUAACUGCACAAAUAUA